UCGGGAUUCGUCCGUAUGGAAUGUGGCCUCCCAGUGACCGGGCAUACACAAAGGCUCCAACACACCAUUCAGAGAACCUCUGCUUGGCGCAAGAUGUCAGUGAAGUGGUGUGCAGUGGUUGUUCGUAGAGUGGCAGUGCCUCUCCUCCAGUCCUCGCGGGCCAUCCAUGCCAGAGGCAAAUCAACUGCUGCUCCUGCAGCACUGCGGACAGAUCUGACAGGUACACCACCUGUCAUUACUUCUGUGUUACCUGCACAGCAUCUCACCACCAAGGUUAUCUUCGACACCCACACCACAGCUGACUUCAAGUACAUCUGGCUGCGAGACAACUGUCAGUGUCCCAAAUGUGUGGAUCCCAGCACGAAACAGAAACUAGUGGACUCUCCAAGCCUUGACUUGAACAUCAAGCCCCUCUCCCUCACCAUGAAUGAUGCAGGCAAACUCGAGAUUAUUUGGUCUGAGGAGGAUGAGGCCCAUAAGUCAGAAUAUGACCCAGUAUGGCUGUAUAAGUAUGGGCAGUCGUUCAUGCACAAUAACUUUGCUAGUGACAGUUUAGACAUGGAACUUUUGACUCAGAGACCAGAAUUUGAGUUAUGGGAUCGAACAACUAUCUGGUCCAGCUUUCCUGAGAUGUCUUAUAAUGAGAUAAUGGAGAGUGAUAAUGGUCUUGCACAGUGGUUGGAAAUGUUCUAUAAGUAUGGUGUUGCUGUUCUCCGUGGAGUGCCACCUAAGGUGAACAAAAUUGUAGAUGUUGUGAAACGAUUUGCCUAUGUGAAGGAGACCCAGUAUGGUCACACUUUUGAUGUAAUCAACAAGCCAGUGAAGGGUUCCCAUCUGGCAUAUACUGGAGUUGCCCUGGCACAUCACACUGACAUGAACUACAGGGAGAAGAGUCCUGGCAUGCAGCUGCUCCACUGUCUCAAGGCCAACGACCCCAAGCUUUCUGGCUCUGACCCAGGGGGACGCUCAUUCUUUUCUGAUGGCUAUCGCAUUGCUAGAUGGUUGGAAGAAAAUGAACCUGCAGCAUUCCAUGUCCUUACUUCCACACCUGUCAGAUUUUCCAUCAAGAAUGAAGGUCGGCAAUAUUCAGCUUUGUGGCCAAUCUUGUGCACAAAUAGUGAAGGGGAUGUGACGGAGGUGCAUUACAACAACCGCACUAUGAAACCUCUUCAGGCGCCCACCCAUGUCGUCACGCCAUUCUACCAUGCAUAUAAGUUGUUCUCAGAUAAACUUCGUGACCCAGCUACAUGUCUGGAGUUCAACAUGGUACCUGGUGAUCUGGUAGCCUUCAACAAUCGACGUGUUCUUCAUGGUCGCACUGCCUUUGAUGUUACCAAGGUUGACAGACAUCUGCAGGGUUGCUAUGUUGACAUAGAUGAGGCUUUCUCCAAAUAUGAUAGCUUAAGAGCCAAAAAGUGAAGUGCGUAGUGCCCAGUCAUGACGCUACUCCCCAAGGCCUCGCCAGUGGCAAGAUAUCACCCAUUUUAUCAUCUCAUAUUAAUUUUACAUGGUACAUUAACCAUCAAAAUACUAUGAGAAGAUUCAGCUAUACAGUGUGAUGUGAUGAAGGACGAGGACCAUAACCUGAGGCAUAACCACAAAGUCAUGUUGGGUUUCAGUGGCACUCGGUAGAUUCAGUCUUGAAGGGGUCUUGCUGCAGGUAAAUGUCAUAGUCUUAAAAAAAAAUAUUAAGUAACCAAGUUUGGUGAAAAAUGCGAUAAGCACUUUUUAUUUCAUUGCACGUAUGUUACUCAAGAAUGAGACGGCCAUUUCCUCAAUGAAGAUUCCCAAAUGUUGCACAAGUGUCUCAUUUUUGAAGUUGAUGGUUUUCUAAAGCAUUUCCAUCACAUAAGUGUUACUGUCUGUAAUUACUCAUAAUCUUGAACACAAUUCGGCCUACAAAAUUUUUAGAUGGCAAAAAUGAUUUUUGUCAUGAAAUAAAUUUUUUAAUUUAUUUAAUUUUAGAAUAAUAUACAAGGUAUAUCAGUAUUUCAGAAAGAUACUGUUAAAGUAUUAUGUAAUUUUUAUUUUCUCUGUGCUUUUAUUACAUGAAUUUUUACAUAUACCUGCCACAUGAUACAUUUUCUUAACAUGCUGAAAAAUUCAUCCUGUGAUAUAAAAAUAAAAACUAUUUUCUAAAAUGUUCUCAAGAAUUAGAUAAUAAAGUUCUCUCAUUUACAAUAAUAAUGUCUGGGAAAGAUUAAUAUGAAUUAUAUAUUCCAUUUAUAUCGAUUCAUUCUUGUGAGAAAUUAUAGCCAUAUGCUAACUAAUUUAUGUUUGUUUCUAAAAUCUACAGUAGCCCACUGUAUGUUGUGCUUUUUUUUCUUCUUUAGGCAGAGUUGCAUAAACAAAUGAAACUGCCCUUAAAGUAAUCUUUUCAAAAUUUAGAGAUUGAAUGCAAUCAAAACAUAAUUCAAGCUAAUUUUUGUGUUAUUUAACAUUAUUGAAACUCGUUACAUUUACAUUUUUUCAACAAUAAAAUUGCGCACUGCUUGUUUGGCAAAAUGAUAGUUACUUUAUAAGCUAAGAUUGCUUGCUCUGUCUUAAAAGCACAACUUAUUUAUCAUAGUUAAUGUAUUAUGCUGUAGUCAUUUUAUCUCUCAUAUUUUGUUCUGUUGAAUAAUGUCAUAAUAAUCAUGAUGAAGUUUCUACCACUAAUUUGUAUACUUUGUUUAAGGUUGAAUUUAGAUAGAUAAAAAUAUCCCAUAGUGUAUCAGUUCAUUACAGCAACAUCACUAAAUUAUUAUUGCUAUUAUAUUUAAGUGUGCUUUCUGUACUUAGUUGUGGGCAUAUGUAUAUAACGGCAUUGUAAUACAAGUAAAAAGUACACUGCACUCACUUCCAAACUUUGUACAAUACAGUAGUCUCUCAAAUAACAUGUGGGUUACAGUCCUGAAAAUUGGCACAUUUUUCAAAUUGGCAUUAACCAAAGUGAAGAACAUAUGGUAAAAAUAGGAUUACAUUCCUUGAAAUACAAAAAAACAGUAUGCAUACAUGAAUUCAGUUGUUUUAUCUCCUGUUGGUGAAUUACUACUGUCAGAGGGUGUGUUAUCCUACGAUCUACUGUAAUUGAAUAGAUUAAAAGGUAAUUUAUACCAAAAUGUCUAAUGCAAAAUCUCAUUUUUUUAUACUGUAUUACAGAUAAUUUUAAUAUAUUUUAACCUAGCGUGAUGCAGACAUUACAGUAGAUGCCUAACUUAUGAUCAUCUGACCUACAGUCAUUAGCACUGAUGAUCAUGGCCCUUUAAUCAAUUAAUUACUUAUGAAGGUUGAUUUAAAGAUACAAGCAUUGUAUUUAGAAAAGAAAUUACUGUAUUUCCUUGAAUAGUGCAGGGAUUAGGGGCACAGACCCCCCCCGUGCAGUCGAAAAUCUGCACAUAACUUUUGGGGAGUCAGAAGUUAACUACUAAUAGCCUACUGCUGGCUGGAAGCCUUACCAAUAAUAUAAACUGCCGGUUAACACACAUUUUGUAUAUGUAUUGCAUACCGUAUUCUUACAAUAAAGUAAACUAGAGAAAAGAAUGUUAUUAAUAAAGUCAUAAGGAAGAGAAAAUUCAUUUACAGUACUGUACUGUAUUAAUCAGUACCUUAAGUUUAUUGUCUGUUUACAAGACGAAUCAUCUGACAGUACCUAUAUCAACAUUGUCUUGUACAACACUAGACAUCAAAAAUGAAAAACAAUGUAAAUAAGAAAUUCAUAUUUAUUUAUAUUUUAGUAUUGCACCUUUAUGUUUAUUUACAUUUCUCUUGACUGUGAGUGGAACACUACGAUCUGUAAUAACAGUAUAUUAUAUUGCUUUUUUAAGUUUGUUUACAUUUCUCUCGAUUGCAAACGGAGCCUGUAUGAUCUGUAAUUGUGUGCGUAAGUUUUGAUAAAUUUUAAUUAUGUAAUAGAUUUGUGUAUAUUUUAUGUAGCAAAUGACUAAAAUAGACUAGUAUCUACAUUACUAUGUAGAUACUGUAAAAUAUAACUUUUAAUUUUUCAGUUGCAAAUCUCCAAAAAAUUUUGUUCAAGGGUCAACUUUAUUUAACCCUUAAACUGUCCAAAUGUAGAUCUAUGUUUACGUGUGUAGCUCUCAGACAUUUAUUUUCUCUAUUUGAAAGCACGUAAAAAAAAAAGUAUAUCUACAUUCGGAGUGGUACACACAUGAACGUAGAUCUACAUCUGGACAGUUUAAAGGUUAAAAAAAAAAAAAAACUUAUCAAAGGAAUUCAUACUAUGUAUAUGUUCAUUUUAGACAUGGAGAGUUCAUGUUUGUUUGAUAAGAUUAGUCAAGAAGUGUAGGUAAAAAAAAAAUUAAGACUGUUCAGGCUGAAUUAUAACUAUUAGCUAUAAUGGACUAGUAGGGGACUGUCCAAGUGUCCAUUAAAGUACUAAGUUACUCUAUUGUUCACUUUAUAUAUAGUACUGUACACACAAUUUACAUAUAUACUGCAAUAAACAUUGAAAAUGAGAGUUAAAAGCACACUUAAAUCAGUGGGUUUUGACCAUAAUUUUAAAAGUCUAUUUUAUCAGGAUCUGUUACAUCUAGGGUAUACUACAUAUACUUUUUCUUGGCUUUUACCAAAUGCGCUGAUAGUUUAUGUUCAUUUUAUGCAUGUGUGGACAGCUAAUGUUUGGUAGAGAUUGGUGAAGACCUAUAGAUUUGAAAAUUACUGUACAGUUUUAUUAAGGGUGAAUUAUAUUAAGUUUCUCAGUUUUUAUUAAAUGCAUUGAUAUUUUGUAUAUUUGCUUUAUGCAUGAGAGGAGAGCUUGUGUUUGGUAGAGAUUUAAAGUUAUAUAUGUUGAGGGGUGGCAAGCAAUUUUGCCUGUUUUCAGGGCUGAGGCUCAGAUUAACUUACUCCACCAAAUUCUCUUCCUACUAUUAAACCUGGGCACACAUUAGCCUUAACCAUUACCUACCCACAGGCACUAAAUGCUGUACAGUAUUU
Molecule: non-coding RNA, 4932 nt
Organism: Cherax quadricarinatus
Lineage: Eukaryota; Metazoa; Arthropoda; Malacostraca; Decapoda; Parastacidae
Source: RefSeq, a predicted model, not a curated record